This 528-nucleotide ribosomal RNA is filed under the name uncultured bacterium. RNAcentral's name for it is "bacterial SSU rRNA". It matches the Rfam family "Bacterial small subunit ribosomal RNA", at positions 981 to 1509 of the family's 1533-position model. The record is from RNAcentral.
CGUACAUCCAGAGAACUUAGCAGAGAUGCUUUGGUGUCUUCGGGAACUCUGAGACAGGUGCUGCAUGGCUGUCGUCAGCUCGUGUUGUGAAAUGUUGGGUUAAGUCCCGCAACGAGCGCAACCCUUAUCCUUUGUUGCCAGCGGUUCGGCCGGGAACUCAAAGGAGACUGCCGGUGAUAAACCGGAGGAAGGUGGGGAUGACGUCAAGUCAUCAUGGCCCUUACGGCCAGGGCUACACACGUGCUACAAUGGCGCAUACAAAGAGAAGCGACCUCGCGAGAGCAAGCGGACCUCAUAAAGUGCGUCGUAGUCCGGAUUGGAGUCUGCAACUCGACUCCAUGAAGUCGGAAUCGCUAGUAAUCGUAGAUCAGAAUGCUACGGUGAAUACGUUCCCGGGCCUUGUACACACCGCCCGUCACACCAUGGGAGUGGGUUGCAAAAGAAGUAGGUAGCUUAACCUUCGGGAGGGCGCUUACCACUUUGUGAUUCAUGACUGGGGUGAAGUCGUAACAAGGUAAGCGUAGCGAG